Molecule: ribosomal RNA, 424 nt
Filed under: uncultured bacterium
Lineage: Bacteria
Description: bacterial SSU rRNA
Rfam family: Bacterial small subunit ribosomal RNA
Source: RNAcentral
GGAAUUUUGCGCAAUGGGCGAAAGCCUGACGCAGCAACGCCGCGUGAGUGAUGAAGGCCUUCGGGUCGUAAAGCUCUGUCAGAGGGGAAGAACCACCAGUCGGCCAAUAUCCGGCAGGCCUGACGGUACCCUCAACGGAAGCACCGGCUAACUCCGUGCCAGCAGCCGCGGUCAUACGGCGGGUGGGAGCGUUGUUCGGAAUUAUUGGGCGGAAAGCGCGUGUGGGCGGUCUGUUAAGUCUGAUGUGAAAGCCCCGGGCUCAACCCGGGAAGUGCAUUGGAAACUGGCAGACUUGAGUACGGGAGAGGGUAGUGGAAUUCCGAGUGUAGGGGUGAAAUCCGUAGAUAUUCGGAGGAACACCGGUGGCGAAGGCGGCUACCUGGACCGAUACUGACGCUGAGACGCGAAAGCGUGGGGAGCAAAC